This is a non-coding RNA of Podarcis lilfordi (Lilford's wall lizard), 75 nucleotides long. The record is from the annotation of a GenBank genome assembly. Lineage: Eukaryota; Metazoa; Chordata; Lepidosauria; Squamata; Lacertidae.
UUCUUGAUGGCUCAGUUGGUAGGGCAUGAUACUCUUAACCCCAGGGUUGUGGGUUUGAGCCCCAAACUGGGCAAA